Grammomys surdaster is the source of this 884-nucleotide long non-coding RNA. RefSeq lists it as uncharacterized. The transcript has 4 exons. NCBI's taxonomy places the organism in Eukaryota, Metazoa, Chordata, Mammalia, Rodentia, Muridae. The record is from RefSeq and is a predicted model, not a curated record.
CUGGGCCACCACGAGUGUGCGUAGCAGAAGCUUGCGGUUGAAGAAAGCAUUAGAAGCAACAAGCAAACACCUGAAAGCCUGCUGGCCACUGGCCUGGAAGUUGCCUUAGGGCAGGCUCGCACCAUUCCCCAGUGCUCCUCAGCGUGCCCCUGGGAAAUCUCUCACCAAGUGCCCCGGAGCGCAGUCCCCCCUGUCUCCGACCUAGCCCCACGCACGCGCUCACUGCACCGCCCGGCCCAAGUCCAGAGACCAGACCCAGGUGCCACCGCGCGGAGGCCCAAGCCACCCGUCCUGUGCGCCUCGCCCCGCCGUGCCAUGCCCGGCCCGCUCCGGAGAAGGGAGCCCUACCUGGCCAGGUCGCCGAAGUCCAUUGAACCCAUUUGCAAACCGAUCGCUCAAAGACCCUACUGCCGACCCCUGACCCUCGCCCCGGAAGUUGGGGGUAACUCGGAAGUUCCGGCUUAGUCGCUAGGAAACUGGCCAGCUCGACGCGAGGGGCGGAGCUUCUGGCCUCUGUGUUGCGAGAGGCAGGUGAGGCAGUCCACUCCCCGGAGGCUCAUCUUCGCACAUGAGACCGACAGCACAGUAACUCCACGGGCUUCCCCACUCAUAUGGCCAACCGUAUAGGAUCCUGAGCACACACUUGUACCCAUGGGACCCUUCAGGCACAAGGGAAUCUGGGGUGAUCCACGAGCAGAACCUCCUUUGCCACACAGAUUCCCGCAAACCAAUCCCUCCCAACCCCGCAUCUCACAUGAGGAUCACUCUCUAAACUGCCCCAACAGUGGUUGGUCCUGGCACCCACUGACCUUUCCUUGUGCACACCAACUGAAGGCACAGAGGUCCCCGUCUUAACACAUGCAUAUUAAACAGUCUGCACCCAC